AUUUGAUGAUGUGGACAUUGUAUUUGAACUCCCCAAAUCUUUUCCAAGCUUCAAAGAAUUCUUCCGUAUGUUUUUGUCUAAAAGUUUGGAUCUUGUUUCUUAACU
This 105-nucleotide small nucleolar RNA is filed under the name Thalictrum thalictroides. Its description in RNAcentral is "Plant small nucleolar RNA R71". It matches the Rfam family "Plant small nucleolar RNA R71". From Rfam's summary of the family: R71 is a member of the C/D box family of snoRNAs containing the C (UGAUGA) and D (CUGA) box motifs. Multiple nearly identical copies of this snoRNA have been identified in Arabidopsis, and it is thought to function as a 2'-O-ribose methylation guide for 18S ribosomal RNA. Lineage: Eukaryota; Viridiplantae; Streptophyta; Magnoliopsida; Ranunculales; Ranunculaceae. The record is from Rfam by way of RNAcentral.